AGAGCGAACGCUGGCGGCAGGCCUAACACAUGCAAGUCGAGCGCCCGUAGCAAUACGGGAGCGGCAGACGGGAUAGUAACACGUGGGAACGCGCCCUUCGGUUCGGAAUAACUCAGGGGAAACUUGAGCUAAUACCGAAUACGCCCUUACGGGGAAAGAUUUAUUGCCGAAGGAACGGCCCGCGUCCGAUUAGCUAGUUGGUGAGGUAAUGGCUCACCAAGGCUACGAUCGGUAGCUGGUCUGAGAGGAUGACCAGCAUCACUGGGACUGAGACACGGCCCAGACUCCUACGGGAGGCAGCAGUGGGGAAUAUUGGACAAUGGGCGCGAAGCCUGAUCCAGCCAUGCCGCGUGGAUGAUGAAGGCCUUAGGGUUGUAAAGUCCUUUUAACGGGGAAGAUAAUGACGGUACCCGUAGAAUAAGCCCCGGCUAACUUCGUGCCAGCAGCC
RNAcentral lists this ribosomal RNA (448 nucleotides) under uncultured bacterium. Its description in RNAcentral is "SSU rRNA". It matches the Rfam family "Bacterial small subunit ribosomal RNA", at positions 26 to 516 of the family's 1533-position model. The record is from RNAcentral.